UAGGGAAUCUUCGGCAAUGGACGAAAGUCUGACCGAGCAACGCCGCGUGAGUGAAGAAGGUUUUCGGGUCGUAAAACUCUGUUGUUAGAGAAGAACAAGGGUGAGAGUAACUGUUCACCCCUUGACGGUAUCUAACCAGAAAGCCACGGCUAACUACGUGCCAG
RNAcentral lists this ribosomal RNA (164 nucleotides) under uncultured bacterium. RNAcentral's name for it is "partial 16S rRNA". It matches the Rfam family "Bacterial small subunit ribosomal RNA", at positions 355 to 511 of the family's 1533-position model. The record is from RNAcentral.